GGGAGGGGAGGGUGAGAGUCAACACAGUGCAUUUUUCCUGGGUUUCCCUAGAUCCUAAACUAGGAGAGCUGUUGGUGCAGAAGCUCAUUGAUAAAUAUCAAGAGAACAAUUACAACAUGGUUGGUCAAGUUUAAUGAAGUAUUGGCCAGCCCCCCCUAUAUUUUUAGAGUGAUUGGUUCACCAUUUUUAUUUUAGUACCUUUGUUGGCUUGGAUGGCUGACUAGUCACA
RNAcentral lists this long non-coding RNA (229 nucleotides) under Homo sapiens (human). Its description in RNAcentral is "non-protein coding lnc-DNASE1L3-3:1". Lineage: Eukaryota; Metazoa; Chordata; Mammalia; Primates; Hominidae. The record is from RNAcentral.